Molecule: long non-coding RNA, 1388 nt
Filed under: Rhinopithecus bieti (black snub-nosed monkey)
Lineage: Eukaryota; Metazoa; Chordata; Mammalia; Primates; Cercopithecidae
Description: lncRNA (ENSRBIG00000045921.1)
Source: RNAcentral
CAAUAAGGACAGCAUCACCUAAUGAAUUACCAGGAAAGGUUUAGUAAAACGAGCAGGCAGAAGAGGAGAAGCCGGAAGCGGUGAUGCUGGGAUCUCGUGACUGCUCCCCACCCCAUCAUCUUUGUUGAACCAAAGCUACAGUAUGUGACAAUCUUUGGGGAACCAUGAGCCACAAAGAAAGCAGGUGCUGUACCACUGAGAACGCUGGGCAGGCAAGAGGGCUGCGAGCCGACGCAGUGUCCGCUGGGAGUUCUUCCAGUGUGAAGACUUCAGCUACAUCUCAGCAAGAAGGAAAAAGUGUUCGUUCAUCUUCAACCUGCAGUGUGCUGCGCUUGCUUCUGUUUGGAUGCAAGUUUUGCUCCCUCUUGUCUUCCUCAGACCCUGCUUAAGUUUGCACUCUCCAGGAGACAGAGAAACAACAGAAGGCAAGGAAUGGUCUUCUCCCUUCCAGCCCGCAUGAGGAAAAAUAAACAUGGUGGCGCUUCUGCAAAGCAAGUGAUCAAAUUAUGAUGAUUAGACACUGCUCUCAAAAGGGAGGGCUGAAAAUAGCAGGUUUGCGAGGUAAGAGCUCAUGCAAGAGAGAGCAUAGCACAGCAUCCCCAGUGACAGUGAUUAUGGUGCAGUUCCUUGGAGGGAAAUGAGCUAAUCUAGGCUGCUGGCACAGUAGGUCAAUCUUCUGCCCGGCACCUCCUUUUUUCCCCUAGAUAAUGGAAAAUAGUUUCAUUCAGCACACCGGGGAUACAGCACAGCACUCAGGGCUUCUGCACGUUUUGCCCCCUAAUAGGAGUUAGGUUUAGCCAAGUAGGAGGGAAGGAAGGCUUGGCUGUGCUGGGCCUUUCAGAACUGGACUCCACAAGACAGCAGUACCCACCGGGGCAGAAGCUACAAGCCCUCUAUGUUGACUGACCCUCCUCCAGGACAAGGUGAAUUUGGAAUUCUGGAAUUUGAAAAAUUGGCCCAGUGUAGAUGUUCAGGAACCCAGUGAGGACAACAGAGACCUUCUAAAUGGUGAUAAUGUUUUCUCAACUUUUUCUUUCAGGAUUUUAUUUGCAUCUCGGAAUAUUGUGUUAGACAUGUCUUUCAUUUCCUGUAUUUUGAUGCUUUGACUGCUGGCGGCUUGCUGACCCUGUAGGCACAAUACCUCCCCCACCUCCAUCCCAGGCCUAGGUAAUUCCUAGAGACAGCAACCAGCUCUCCCAUAUGCAAACCAAUCGAUCCAUAGCCCAUAUCCACACCACCUCCUCUAGCUGGCUGUCAUACUCAGGGCCAUUGUCCCCCAUCCUAAUUGCCCCAAGACCAGAUAUAAACAAUGAGGGGCAGCCAUUAUGGCCCAGAACUUGCUAAAAUUACUCAAACCCAUCGUAAACUCAUAGCCCUGCCUUUCCUGU